RNAcentral lists this ribosomal RNA (288 nucleotides) under uncultured bacterium. RNAcentral's name for it is "partial 16S ribosomal RNA". It matches the Rfam family "Bacterial small subunit ribosomal RNA", at positions 29 to 289 of the family's 1533-position model. The record is from RNAcentral.
AUGAACGCUGGCGGCGUGGAUAAGGCAUGCAAGUCGGACGAUUUCCUUUUUGAAGAAGAUGCGAUUACAUCAAGUCAACUGAUAUUUUGGAGAUAGUGGCGAACGAGCUAGUAACACCUUGGUACGUACCCAAAAGUUUGGUAUAGCUCGCCGAAAGGCGGGGUAAUCCCAAAUAAUCCCUCUAUCUAUCGGGUAGAAGGGUAAAGUCGCAAGACGCUUUUGGAGCGGCCUAGGACCGAUCAGUUAGUUGGUGAGGUAAUGGCUCACCAAGACGAUGACCGGUAGGGG